UGUUCAGUCCAACCCCCACUCUAUAAUUCUAAAAGUAGAAAAAAAGGAAUACGAAAGAGAGAUAGGAGCCUUU
RNAcentral lists this transfer RNA (73 nucleotides) under Inga leiocalycina. Its description in RNAcentral is "tRNA-Glu". Lineage: Eukaryota; Viridiplantae; Streptophyta; Magnoliopsida; Fabales; Fabaceae. The record is from RNAcentral.